UGGGGAAUAUUGGACAAUGGGCGAAAGCCUGAUCCAGCCAUGCCGCGUGUGUGAAGAAGGUCUUCGGAUUGUAAAGCACUUUAAGUUGGGAGGAAGGGCAGUAAGCGAAUACCUUGCUGUUUUGACGUUACCGACAGAAUAAGCACCGGCUAACUCUGUGCCAGCAGCCGCGGUAAUACAGAGGGUGCAAGCGUUAAUCGGAAUUACUGGGCGUAAAGCGCGCGUAGGUGGUUCGUUAAGUUGAAUGUGAAAGCCCCGGGCUCAACCUGGGAACUGAAUCCAAAACUGGCGGGCUAGAGUAGGGCAGAGGGUGGUGGAAUUUCCUGUGGAGCGGUGAAAUGCGUAGAUAUAGGAAGGAACACCAGUGGCGAAGGCGACCACCUGGGCUCAUACUGACACUGAGGUGCGAAAGCGUGGGGAGCAAACAGG
This 429-nucleotide ribosomal RNA is filed under the name Pseudomonadota bacterium. Its description in RNAcentral is "Proteobacteria bacterium partial 16S ribosomal RNA". It matches the Rfam family "Bacterial small subunit ribosomal RNA", at positions 355 to 776 of the family's 1533-position model. Lineage: Bacteria; Pseudomonadati; Pseudomonadota. The record is from RNAcentral.